Molecule: small RNA, 72 nt
Filed under: Flavobacterium sp. 1
Lineage: Bacteria; Pseudomonadati; Bacteroidota; Flavobacteriia; Flavobacteriales; Flavobacteriaceae
Description: Flavo-1 RNA
Rfam family: Flavo-1 RNA
Source: RNAcentral
GAAUAGCCCCGAUAGCAGUGGAAAUCCUCCCGAUUUUUCUUCGGGAGAUUGCAACGUAUAGCGGGAGAAUAC